Molecule: long non-coding RNA, 269 nt
Organism: Folsomia candida
Lineage: Eukaryota; Metazoa; Arthropoda; Collembola; Entomobryomorpha; Isotomidae
Exons: 3
Source: RefSeq, a predicted model, not a curated record
UCCACCAGAUCCGUGUCUCCACCGGUCAAUUUAUCUGAUCUAUCAGUGUUCACCUAUUUGGCCAAACAAGGGUACUUAAAUCAAUGUGACUUUGUCAAGACUAUUAAAAAACUUUCAAAACUUCGCUUAAGACUCAUCAAUUACUAUGAGACCUUGUUCGUGACUCGGGAAUAGUGUGAAAUUCUCAGGAACGUCAGUAAAGUUUACCAGGUUCAACCAUAAUAUUAAAAUAAUAGUUUCUUAUCUCCAAAAAUUAAAAAAGCAACGAA